UGGGGAAUUUUGGACAAUGGGGGAAACCCUGAUCCAGCCAUCCCGCGUGUGCGAUGAAGGCCUUCGGGUUGUAAAGCACUUUUGGCAGGAAAGAAACGUCAUGGGUUAAUACCCCGUGAAACUGACGGUACCUGCAGAAUAAGCACCGGCUAACUACGUGCCAGCAGCCGCGGUAAUACGUAGGGUGCAAGCGUUAAUCGGAAUUACUGGGCGUAAAGCGUGCGCAGGCGGUUCGGAAAGAAAGAUGUGAAAUCCCAGAGCUCAACUUUGGAACUGCAUUUUUAACUACCGGGCUAGAGUGUGUCAGAGGGAGGUGGAAUUCCGCGUGUAGCAGUGAAAUGCGUAGAUAUGCGGAGGAACACCGAUGGCGAAGGCAGCCUCCUGCGAUAACACUGACGCUCAUGCACGAAAGCGUGGGGAGCAAACAGG
RNAcentral lists this ribosomal RNA (429 nucleotides) under Acidobacteriota bacterium. Its description in RNAcentral is "Acidobacteria bacterium partial 16S ribosomal RNA". It matches the Rfam family "Bacterial small subunit ribosomal RNA", at positions 355 to 776 of the family's 1533-position model. Lineage: Bacteria; Pseudomonadati; Acidobacteriota. The record is from RNAcentral.